This 328-nucleotide ribosomal RNA is filed under the name uncultured eukaryote. RNAcentral's name for it is "partial 18S ribosomal RNA". It matches the Rfam family "Eukaryotic small subunit ribosomal RNA", at positions 1470 to 1796 of the family's 1831-position model. The record is from RNAcentral.
CCCUUAGAUGUCCUGGGCCGCACGCGCGUUACACUGAUGCAUUCAACGAGCUUAUAACCUUGGCCGAGAGGCCUGGGCAAUCUUGUUAACGUGCAUCGUGAUAGGGAUAGAUUAUUGAAAUUAUUAAUCUUGAACGAGGAAUUCCUAGUAAACGCAGAUCAUCAAUCUGCAUUGAUUACGUCCCUGCCCUUUGUACACACCGCCCGUCGCACCUACCGAUUGGAUGGUCCGGUGAGGCUUUGGGAUCUGAGCGGAAAGAGCGUUUCGCUGUUUCUGCUCGGAAAACUCAGUCGAACCUUAUCAUUUAGAGGAAGGAGAAGUCGUAACA